RNAcentral lists this microRNA precursor (82 nucleotides) under Tursiops truncatus (common bottlenose dolphin). RNAcentral describes it as "miRNA (ENSTTRG00000024585.1)". Lineage: Eukaryota; Metazoa; Chordata; Mammalia; Artiodactyla; Delphinidae. The record is from RNAcentral.
AUUAGGUUGGCCAAAAAGUUCGUUCAGGUUUUUCUGUAACAUCUUAUGGAAAAAUCCAAAUGACCUUUUUGGCCAACACAAU